RNAcentral lists this ribosomal RNA (497 nucleotides) under uncultured bacterium. RNAcentral describes it as "partial 16S ribosomal RNA". It matches the Rfam family "Bacterial small subunit ribosomal RNA", at positions 28 to 507 of the family's 1533-position model. The record is from RNAcentral.
GAUGAACGCUGGCGGCGUGCCUAAUACAUGCAAGUCGAGCGAACAGACGAGGAGCUUGCUCCUCUGACGUUAGCGGCGGACGGGUGAGUAACACGUGGAUAACCUACCUAUAAGACUGGGAUAACUUCGGGAAACCGGAGCUAAUACCGGAUAAUAUAUUGAACCGCAUGGUUCAAUAGUGAAAGACGGUUUUGCUGUCACUUAUAGAUGGAUCCGCGCCGCAUUAGCUAGUUGGUAAGGUAACGGCUUACCAAGGCGACGAUGCGUAGCCGACCUGAGAGGGUGAUCGGACACACUGGAACUGAGACACGGUCAAGACGCCUACGGGAGGCAGCAGGAGGGAAUCUUCCGAAAUGGGCGAAAGCUUGAAGGAGCAACGCCGCGUGAGUGAUGAAGGUAUUCGGAUCGUAAAACUCUGUUAUUAGGGAAGAACAAAUGUGUAAGUAACUAUGCACGUCUUGACGGUACCUAAUCAGAAAGCCACGGCUAACUACGUG